This 117-nucleotide ribosomal RNA is filed under the name Lepisosteus oculatus (spotted gar). The record is from RNAcentral. Lineage: Eukaryota; Metazoa; Chordata; Actinopteri; Semionotiformes; Lepisosteidae.
GCUAGCAGCCAUAUCACCCUGCAGCUCUCAACUGGCAGCCCACUGAAGCUCAGCAGGGUUGAGCCUGGUCAGGACCUGGACAGGAGACCUCCUGGGAAGCUAUGGUUGCUGCUGGAA